GGACUACUAGGGUAUCUAAUCCUGUUUGCUCCCCAUGCUUUCGUACCUCAGCGUCAGUAUUAGGCCAGAUGGCUGCCUUCGCCAUCGGUAUUCCUCCAGAUCUCUACGCAUUUCACCGCUACACCUGGAAUUCUACCAUCCUCUCCCAUACUCUAGCUUCCCAGUAUCGAAUGCAAUUCCCAAGUUAAGCUCGGGGAUUUCACAUCCGACUUAAAAAGCCGCCUACGCACGCUUUACGCCCAGUAAAUCCGAUUAACGCUCGCACCCUCUGUAUUACCGCGGCUGCUGGCACAGAGUUAGCCGGUGCUUAUUCUGCGAGUAACGUCCACUAUCCAAGAGUAUUAGUCUCAGUAGCCUCCUCCUCGCUUAAAGUGCUUUACAACCAUAAGGCCUUCUUCAC
This 400-nucleotide unclassified non-coding RNA is filed under the name uncultured fungus. RNAcentral describes it as "sequence contains ITS1". The record is from RNAcentral. Lineage: Eukaryota; Fungi.